Long non-coding RNA from Gadus macrocephalus (Pacific cod), 274 nucleotides. RefSeq lists it as uncharacterized. The transcript is spliced from 3 exons. The record is from RefSeq and is a predicted model, not a curated record. Lineage: Eukaryota; Metazoa; Chordata; Actinopteri; Gadiformes; Gadidae.
CAGCCAACUCCAGUCUACUCGGAGGGGGAGGUGUUGAUGGCUGCAUACACAAGGCUGCGGGGGGAUGUCUGUAUGAUGAGUGUCACUCCCUUAAUGGCUGUGAAACCGGCAAGGCCAAAAUCACCUGUGGCUAUGAUCUGCCCGCCAAAUAUGUGAUCCACACUGUGGGACCGAUGGCGAGAGGUCGGGCCGGCCCUUCUGAGAGCAGUGACCUCAGCGCCUGCUACCAGAACUCCCUGAAGCUACUGGUGGACCACAAUCUGACCACUGUGGU